RNAcentral lists this unclassified non-coding RNA (247 nucleotides) under Hevea brasiliensis (rubber tree). The record is from RNAcentral. Lineage: Eukaryota; Viridiplantae; Streptophyta; Magnoliopsida; Malpighiales; Euphorbiaceae.
GAUAAUGGCAGGAGGGAGACACCCCAUGAAAAUAACAUACAGCGUUGGAUUUAAGUCGAAUGGCAAAAUCACCGCCUUACAUCUUGAUGUAUUGGUAAAUGCUGGGAUCACUGAAGAUAUAAGCCCUGUGAUACCUUCAAACUUUAUUGGGGCUCUCAAAAAAUAUGAUUGGGGUGCAUUGUCUUUUGAUGUAAAAGUAUGUAAGACGAACCUUACCACCAAAUCAGCUAUGCGUGGCCCGGGGGAG